GAUUUUCGGCCUUUUUACAAAAACACAGCACUUUGCCAACUCGUAAGAGGAAGUAUAAGGUGUGACGCCUGCCCGGUGCUCGAAGGUUAAGAGGAUGCGUCAGUCGCAAGAUGAAGCGUUGAAUUGAAGCCCGAGUAAACGGCGGCCGUAACUAUAACGGUCCUAAGGUAGCGAAAUUCCUUGUCGGUUAAAUACCGACCUGCAUGAAUGGCGUAACGAGAUGGGAGCUGUCUCAACCAGAGAUUCAGUGAAAUUGUAGUGGAGGUGAAAAUUCCUCCUACCCGCGGCAAGACGGAAAGACCCCGUGGACCUUUACUACAACUUAGCACUGCUAACGGGAAUAUCAUGCGCAGGAUAGGUGGGAGGCUUUGAAGUAAGGGCUUUGGCUCUUAUGGAGA
RNAcentral lists this ribosomal RNA (398 nucleotides) under Helicobacter pylori. RNAcentral's name for it is "bacterial LSU rRNA". It matches the Rfam family "Bacterial large subunit ribosomal RNA", at positions 1790 to 2186 of the family's 2925-position model. The record is from RNAcentral. Lineage: Bacteria; Pseudomonadati; Campylobacterota; Epsilonproteobacteria; Campylobacterales; Helicobacteraceae.